Molecule: ribosomal RNA, 73 nt
Filed under: Serratia marcescens
Lineage: Bacteria; Pseudomonadati; Pseudomonadota; Gammaproteobacteria; Enterobacterales; Yersiniaceae
Source: RNAcentral
UCAGAAGUGAAACGCCGUAGCGCCGAUGGUAGUGUGGGGUCUCCCCAUGCGAGAGUAGGACACUGCCAGGCAU